Molecule: non-coding RNA, 147 nt
Submitted as: unclassified sequences
Source: Rfam
UAAGUCAUCAGAAAAUGACAAACCUGUGGGGCGUAAGUAAGUAUAUAGAAACUCGGAUUAGUCACCGUUCAUGAAGAUGUACUCGUGACGUGCAAAGAGUUGUUACAUCUCUAAAUACUUAUGAUCGUGCGGACGUAAAAAUCAGGU